AGUGAACGCUGGCGGUAGGCCUAACACAUGCAAGUCGAACGGCAGCACAGUAAUAGCUUGCUCUUACGGGUGGCGAGUGGCGGACGGGUGAGGAAUACAUCGGAAUCUACUUUUUCGUGGGGGAUAACGUAGGGAAACUUACGCUAAUACCGCAUACGACCUACGGGUGAAAGCAGGGGAUCUUCGGACCUUGCGCGAUUGAAUGAGCCGAUGUCGGAUUGGCUAGUUGGCGGGGUAAAGGCCCACCAAGGCGACGUGCCGUAGCUGGUCUGAGAGGAUGAUCAGCCACACUGGAGCUGAGACACGGUCCAGACUCCUACGGGAGGCAGCAGUGGGGAAUAUUGGACAAUGGGCGCAAGCCUGAUCCAGCCAUACCGCGUAGGUGAAGAAGGCCUUCGGGUUGUAAAGCCCUUUUGUUGGGAAAGAAAAGCAGCAGGUUAAUACCCCGCUGUUCUGACGGUACCCAAAGAAUAAGCACCGGCUAACUUCGUG
This 492-nucleotide ribosomal RNA is filed under the name uncultured bacterium. RNAcentral describes it as "partial 16S ribosomal RNA". It matches the Rfam family "Bacterial small subunit ribosomal RNA", at positions 29 to 507 of the family's 1533-position model. The record is from RNAcentral.